AAGCGGUGGAGCAUGUGGUUUAAUUCGAUGAUACGCGAGGAACCUUACCUGGGCUCAAAUGUAUGUUGACGUAUUCUGAAAGGGAUACUUCUUUCGGACAAUAUACAAGGUGCUGCAUGGUUGUCGUCAGCUCGUGCCGUGAGGUGUCGGGUUAAGUCCCAUAACGAGCGCAACCCCUGCAUUCAGUUGCCAUCGGGUAAUGCCGGGCACUCUGGAAGGACUGCCAUCGACAAGAUGGAGGAAGGUGGGGAUGACGUCAAGUCAUCAUGGCCCUUAUGUCCAGGGCGACACACGUGCUACAAUGGCCGGCACAACGGGAAGCGAGUUCGCGAGGACGAGCGGAUCCCUCAAAGCCGGUCGCAGUUCGGAUUGAAGUCUGCAACUCGACUUCAUGAAGCUGGAAUCGCUAGUAAUCGUGGAUCAGCCAAGCCGCGGUGAAUACGUUCCCGGGCCUU
RNAcentral lists this ribosomal RNA (455 nucleotides) under uncultured Synergistaceae bacterium. RNAcentral describes it as "partial 16S ribosomal RNA". It matches the Rfam family "Bacterial small subunit ribosomal RNA", at positions 927 to 1382 of the family's 1533-position model. Lineage: Bacteria; Thermotogati; Synergistota; Synergistia; Synergistales; Synergistaceae. The record is from RNAcentral.